RNAcentral lists this long non-coding RNA (562 nucleotides) under Mus spretus (western wild mouse). Its description in RNAcentral is "lncRNA (ENSMSPG00010036715.1)". Lineage: Eukaryota; Metazoa; Chordata; Mammalia; Rodentia; Muridae. The record is from RNAcentral.
GCUGCCUCUGACACGGGUCACGUGGUUCUCCCAGGUGUUCCACGUAUAUGCAGGUGCCUGAGGCGGUCAGAGCAAUUCUCUGGAGCUGGAGUUACAGGCAGUUGUGAGCCACUUGGUGUGGGCUCUGGAAACUGAAACCGUGGUCCUCUGGAAGAGCAUCGUGAGCUCUUAGCCUCUGAGUCAUCUCUCCAGCCCCACAAGCAUCGAACAUUAAUUUAACCAAGCAUGGUUCAUCAAAAAUGUAGUAGAAGUAGAGACAGGGGAACGCUCAGCUGCUUGGAUGAUAUCUGAGGGAGCAGAGACUGUGGAGGAAAUAGAGAAGGAAACACUUCCGGAGCAUGUGGGAACUAAGAACACCCCAAAUGGAGAAGCGCCUGUGUCCAUGGCACCCUGUUAUUUGGGGACCUGGUGGCUUCUGCCUCUCUCCUGGGAUAGAGAGAGUCCUCUUCAGUCAUAAAGUCACAUGAUGAACUGUAGACUGGGAUCAGAUGGUAACCCUUCCACUACCACAUCUGCUCACAUGAAAGCAAAGUGCUGGUACCCUUAAGUGCACCGCAUGUCU